GAAUGUGUACUCGUGAAGCCUUAAUUGGAGCUGUUGUAUUUCUUUGUUCUUUUCCUGCAGCAAAUCCCCUUGUUUGAUCCCCUCUGCAGCACUCCUAUUUAAGAAUUUUGGUGUUAUUUGUAUUACUAGGUACUUGACCAUUAAUUUCAUCUUGUUCCCAUGUGACUACCUAGUACUUAUCUAAUAACUCCCAUUGUUUGAUUGUGGCAGGUACAUAUGCAAGAAUGCAGGUGCUGCCAUAUGGUGUGAAGACUUGCAGGAUUUGACUUGCUCUCUUUAGUGAGUCUUUGGUCUCCUAUUGUUAAAGAAAGGUGAGGGAAAGGCUUGGCUGCCACGUUGCUGUCCAAGACAUGGGCUUGCUGCCCUGGGCUCGACGGGCUGUUUGGAACGGGCCGUGAUUUGGGCUUGGGAGAAAGAGACCCAAAGUCCAAGCAAAAUAAGACUUUAGUUUCUUAAGCUCUAUUGGCCCAUUCAUGGGUAUUUUGUAAUAGUAUAGUAUCCCAUAUUCUUUUCUUCCCAUUCAUAAUUCAUACGUAAGAUGAUCAUGUAAGAUAAUGUAUUAUUCGAUAUGUAAGCGAACACAUUAGUUCGGGAAGGAUACCUUCACAUUCUUUUUCAAA
Salvia hispanica is the source of this 620-nucleotide non-coding RNA. Lineage: Eukaryota; Viridiplantae; Streptophyta; Magnoliopsida; Lamiales; Lamiaceae. The record is from RefSeq and is a predicted model, not a curated record.